UGGGGAAUCUUGCGCAAUGGGCGAAAGCCUGACGCAGCCAUGCCGCGUGAAUGAUGAAGGUCUUAGGAUUGUAAAAUUCUUUCACCGGGGACGAUAAUGACGGUACCCGGAGAAGAAGCCCCGGCUAACUUCGUGCCAGCAGCCGCGGUAAUACGAAGGGGGCUAGCGUUGCUCGGAAUUACUGGGCGUAAAGGGCGCGUAGGCGGACAUUUAAGUCAGGGGUGAAAUCCCGGAGCUCAACUUCGGAACUGCCUUUGAUACUGGAUGUCUUGAGUAUGAGAGAGGUAUGUGGAACUCCGAGUGUAGAGGUGAAAUUCGUAGAUAUUCGGAAGAACACCAGUGGCGAAGGCGACAUACUGGCUCAUUACUGACGCUGAGGCGCGAAAGCGCGGGGAGCAAACAGGAUUAGAUACCCUGGUAGUCCACGCCGUAAACGAUGAUUGCUAGUUGUCGGGAUGCAUGCAUCUCGGUGACGCAGCUAACGCAUUAAGCAAUCCGCCUGGGGAGUACGGUCGCAAGAUUAAAACUCAAAUGAAUUGACGGGGGUCAUAGCUGUUUCCUG
Molecule: ribosomal RNA, 562 nt
Filed under: uncultured bacterium
Lineage: Bacteria
Description: partial 16S ribosomal RNA
Rfam family: Bacterial small subunit ribosomal RNA
Source: RNAcentral